This is a long non-coding RNA of Melitaea cinxia (Glanville fritillary), 114 nucleotides long. RefSeq lists it as uncharacterized. The transcript is spliced from 3 exons. Lineage: Eukaryota; Metazoa; Arthropoda; Insecta; Lepidoptera; Nymphalidae. The record is from RefSeq and is a predicted model, not a curated record.
UUUAAUUACUAUAUAAAAACUAGUUGUGCCCGCGAGUUCGUCCGCGUAAAAUUUGACAUAAAAGAUAUUGUUCAGUUCGCAGAGUUAUAAAAUAAAUACAUUUCGCAAAUAAAA